CAGAUAUAUCCCAUGUGACUGGUAGACAGGUUUCGUUUCCAUUCAUUCAAAGAAUUUGAAACAAAUUGUGAUCUCAGAGAUUUUGAUUCGUAAGAUGAGUAAAUCACAAUGGAUAUGUUUCAAAAUGAAUUGGAGAAAUCAAACGCCGCUGGCCUGAAUGAUCAAAAGGCCAACCUUGAAGCUAGGUGCAGAAAGGCAUAAGUGGCACAAGUGCGGCGGUGUACAUCCUCACAAGAAUCUAA
Long non-coding RNA from Brassica oleracea var. oleracea, 242 nucleotides. RefSeq lists it as uncharacterized. The transcript is spliced from 3 exons. NCBI's taxonomy places the organism in Eukaryota, Viridiplantae, Streptophyta, Magnoliopsida, Brassicales, Brassicaceae. The record is from RefSeq and is a predicted model, not a curated record.